UACGAACUGUGCGAUCGUUAUUCGGAAUCACUGGGCUUACAGGGUGCGUAGGCGGCUUAGCAAGUCAGGUGUGAAAGCCCCCGGCUCAACCGGGGAACUGCGCUUGAAACUGCUGAGCUCGAGUCAGCUAGAGGUACACGGAACUUCCAGUGGAGCGGUGAAAUGUGUUGAUAUUGGAAGGAACACCGGAGGCGAAAGCGGUGUACUGGGGCUGGUCUGACGCUGAGGCACGAAAGCCAGGGGAGCGAACGGG
This 253-nucleotide ribosomal RNA is filed under the name uncultured bacterium. Its description in RNAcentral is "partial 16S ribosomal RNA". It matches the Rfam family "Bacterial small subunit ribosomal RNA", at positions 524 to 776 of the family's 1533-position model. The record is from RNAcentral.